UUUAAUGAUUAUAACAAGCAAUAAAUGUAGUAAAAAAGACCAUUUCUCUACUCCACAUCAGAGACAGAAACCAGUUUUUGUUUUUUUUUAAAUUGUGACUAAAAAAACAAAAAAACAAUCAAUGAAUUAAGAGUACCGUCAUGGUCGAUGACUAAUUUUAGUCGUUAAGAAAAUUAAUUGAUUGUUCCAUCGAAAUAAAUUUCAUAAGCUUAAGAGACAUGAAAAAUACUUAAAACAAAACUCUAGAGUAACUUUAAUAUUUCGUU
Molecule: non-coding RNA, 266 nt
Organism: Schizosaccharomyces pombe (fission yeast)
Lineage: Eukaryota; Fungi; Ascomycota; Schizosaccharomycetes; Schizosaccharomycetales; Schizosaccharomycetaceae
Source: the annotation of a GenBank genome assembly